ACCACAUCCAGGCCAGCGACUGCCGCUCCCCUGUAGCGGGAGCGCCCGAGGAGGCAGCAACGCUCUUGCACCCAGUCACCAGGAGGACGACAUGACUGAUACAAAGUUGCUGCGACACAGCCUGGACUCGGCGGCUCCCUUAAAGCCGCACGGGCGACCUGGGUGCCGAGCAGCGGCUACGACACCAGGCAGCCGGCCCCCUGCGCACGCUGACCCCCGCCCCUCGCUCAGCAGCCCUCAGCUUACUCGCGCCACCUGGCUCUCCUGCCCACCCUACGAUAGCUGAAAAGACAUGCAAAGUGUGGUGACGCGUCAAAGUCGGCUUUUCCGAGAGCCAGUCAAGGUGUAAUCCCCUCACGCUCUCCACCUGCAGCGCCAGGUGAAGGGCAGCCCUGGCCCAGACUCCACCCGCAGCGUCCGCUCGCAGGGGAGGACUCCCGCGGGGGCCGCACCGACCCCCAAGGUCCUCUCCACGCCCCUUUCCUGGGUUUCCGAGUUACCUCUCAGCAGAGCAGCCGCAGUGUCCGCUGCCAGCUUGCAAGAGGAUCACGUUCCCACUUGAUUUGAAUUUCCUUGUUUUAACCGUGCAGGAAAAGUGGGUGAUUUCAGCGUCGCCGAGCCUUUUAAACACAGCCUCUCACCCACUUCCUCACCCCCACCAACCAAAAAAAAAAAAAAGUACCAGGGUCAGGAGCUGCUGCUCUCUCUCCUUAUAAUUCUGUUACUGUCCUUACUACUUUAGCGCUGGAUUUUUCCACUAGUUCAAUGAGAAAGAAAAGCCUUCGGUCGAGGAUAUUCACUUCUUUAUAAUGGGUGGCAGUGGUUGCAUAUAACUGGGGGGAACAUACAGGAGAGGGGGAAGGAACCGAACUGUUUCCUAAGGAUACGGCAUCUGCAAGAAGAAAUGCCCGAUUCCCUCCAACCGCCCCUACCUCGACUCUCCUCUCGCCCACCCAACCUCUGGACUUCUUAACUCCGAUAUCUAAGGACGUUGAGGGUCCGCGUGUGCGGCUCGGUUUUAGGCUCCCAGCUGGCUCCAAAUCAGCACCAGUGACGUACACGCCUAAAUCUGGUACCCUGGCCCUCGGCGACCUGCCUGCAGCCGGGCGCCAGCAGCUGCUCAGCCUCCCGCCUCACCCUCGCCCCGCGCCCGCGUUAAGUCGUGGGGAAGGCGUUCACCCUGUGCCCAAAGGCCCCUCUUCGCCUUGCAGUUAAUUAAGCUUCGGGAUUUCGGACCCUGAAAGCGAGAA
Myotis davidii is the source of this 1250-nucleotide long non-coding RNA. RefSeq lists it as uncharacterized. The record is from RefSeq and is a predicted model, not a curated record. NCBI's taxonomy places the organism in Eukaryota, Metazoa, Chordata, Mammalia, Chiroptera, Vespertilionidae. The transcript has 2 exons.